GCUACCAGGCUGCGGUGCUCCAGGGGGGAGGGCUCGCUGUUAAGGCAGAACUGCCUAGUUACUCCCUCUCGUGGUCCUUUGUCUUGGUUGUUUAUGCAGGUGCUUUUCUUUCCCUCUCUACUCUGGGACUUCACAUGCUGGGGUAACAAGAACGGAAGCUUCACACCUUUUCCACUUUGGUCCUCCGACCACCCUCACCCCACUUCACAGCCUUGGAGCCCGGACCUGGACCAGGACAGGUCACCUCCACAAGACCUCUGCCAAGACUCCUUCCCAGCAACCAUCCUGAUCCUCAUUGUACUGUGCAGUGAUAUCACAUUCAACGUUGUCUCCAUUCAAGGGUGUUAUAUCAAUGCUGUUACAUAUUCUGCUGCUCGUAUGUUGUACAUUGCAUUAAUAUGCAUGACAUUAACAGCUGUACACAUUACUCUAUAUGCUGUAUUGGCAACAAGUUACGUAUUAUUUUACAGAGGAGGCUAUGGGACCAGAAGACCAGAAAGAAGGCCUGGUACAAGGUGUUCCUAAGGGAACCAGACUGGAUCCUGACUUUGUGUGGUUAGGAUGCGGGACCAGGCAGGGCAGCACCAGGCCCAGCAGCGCCUCCGGAGCCCAACAGGAUUGGAGAGGGGAAGAGAACCUUCUUCAGCUCCAGGCUUCUGCCUCAACUGAACAAGAGCACUGCUCUGCACCCAGGAAAAGCAGGAAAGAGCAGACGCACAAUGACAGGAACUCACAAGUCACUGAAUUAUUUCAGAUCGGCCUCGGAAAGAACGGGCGCUCGGAUUGGCUCAAGGGUGGAGUGAAGGCGAUGAUGCCCUUGGGGGAGGGCCGCUCAGGCACAUCCGGUAAGCAGACUCCAUUUUCUUCACUCAAGAACCUUUAGAGGAGAUGUCACACGGGGUGUGCAAUCGCAUCGCACACUCUGAGGGAUCAUUCCAGUUAACAGUGAGGCCCAGGACUGCUGCAAGGCUGAGAAAGAUUAAAACUUAACUCCUCUUCCCAAUAAAUGCAGCUAGGCCCUGGACACCUCCUCAUGCCUUCCAUAUUUUCUUUUGUAUGGUAGCAUCAGAUGAUCGAUGCAGGAAGGCCCC
This 1091-nucleotide long non-coding RNA is filed under the name Chinchilla lanigera (long-tailed chinchilla). RNAcentral describes it as "lncRNA (ENSCLAG00000025837.1)". Lineage: Eukaryota; Metazoa; Chordata; Mammalia; Rodentia; Chinchillidae. The record is from RNAcentral.